UGGCGACCGGCGCACGGGUGAGUAACGCGUAUGCAACUUACCUAUCAGAGGGGGAUAGCCCGGCGAAAGGCGGAUUAAUACCCCAUAAAACAGGGGUCCCGCAUGGGAAUAUUUGUUAAAGAUUCAUCGCUGAUAGAUAGGCAUGCGUUCCAUUAGGCAGUUGGCGGGGUAACGGCCCACCAAACCGACGAUGGAUAGGGGUUCUGAGAGGAAGGUCCCCCACAUUGGUACUGAGACACGGACCAAACUCCUACGGGAGGCAGCAGUGAGGAAUAUUGGUCAAUGGCCGAGAGGCUGAACCAGCCAAGUCGCGUGAAGGAAGAAGGAUCUAUGGUUUGUAAACUUCUUUUAUAGGGGAAUAAAGUGGAGGACGUGUCCUUUUUUGUAUGUACCCUAUGAAUAAGCAUCGGCUAACUCCGUGCCAGCAGCCGCGGUAAUACGGAGGAUGCGAGCGUUAUCCGGAUUUAUUGGGUUUAAAGGGUGCGUAGGUGGUGAUUUAAGUCAGCGGUGAAAGUUUGUGGCUCAACCAUAAAAUUGCCGUUGAAACUGGGUUACUUGAGUGUGUUUGAGGUAGGCGGAAUGCGUGGUGUAGCGGUGAAAUGCAU
Molecule: ribosomal RNA, 605 nt
Filed under: uncultured bacterium
Lineage: Bacteria
Description: bacterial SSU rRNA
Rfam family: Bacterial small subunit ribosomal RNA
Source: RNAcentral